Long non-coding RNA from Prosopis cineraria, 852 nucleotides. RefSeq lists it as uncharacterized. The transcript is spliced from 2 exons. Lineage: Eukaryota; Viridiplantae; Streptophyta; Magnoliopsida; Fabales; Fabaceae. The record is from RefSeq and is a predicted model, not a curated record.
GUGUGUUUUUUCUCAUCAUUCUUAGUUGUCUAUGGUUUUUAUUUAAAACAUUGAAUGGGAAAUCCUCUGAUAACAUGGUUUUUACUCUUGUCUGAUUUGUUUCACAGAAUAGAAUGUUGAGAAUAUCAUUUUAGUUUGUGCAGUGUGUGUUCUAAUUCAAACUAGGGUUAAUGCCUAAGUUUACCCUUGUACUUAUUUUCAAGGAGCGCUGGGUAUCUUGUACUUUUAAGUGGAACAAUUUUCCCACUGAACUAUUUUUGAGGAGCAAAAAUGCCCUUAUGCUAGUUAGCGUUAAAUAUUCCAUUUUCUGAUUAUGUGUUAUCACGUGGAAAAAAGCCACAGAGAGAGAGAGAGAGCAAGUCCUUUGACCAAGUCAUGUUCCUUCCUCAUGUUUGUCAAUCGCGGCAGAUAGAGUGCGCGUUUCAGUUGUCCCUUUUAUCCUCUGUCCUUCCGUCAUUCAUCUGACCAAGCCAUAUGAAGAGCUUCUCCUGCCUUUGCUUCCUUUUCCAUCUGUUGUCUUACUUGUGGGUGGACAUCUCUGUAUCUGAGGUGAAAGAUCAAAGGCGGCUUCCUUGUGUCUGAACUUAACAGGGGCUUCCUCAGUCCUUCCAUCACUGCAUCUAUUGCCUUCCUUGGAUGACGGGGCAUCAGCCUGAAAUGAUACAAGUCCUUUUUAAGAGAGAGAUUUGAAGAUUGUUGUUCAAUUUGAUGAAGUUCAAAUUGUUUCUGGUGUUUUGCUUUCUGCUGGUUCUUCAUUUUGACUGAGCUUCUGGGGACUUGCGGUGCUCCGAUUGCUUCUCUCUCUGCUGUUGAUUUUGUUUCUUCCAAAAAAGCCGGAAGGAGGUGGAUUGG